This 224-nucleotide ribosomal RNA is filed under the name Hepatozoon canis. RNAcentral describes it as "partial 18S ribosomal RNA". It matches the Rfam family "Eukaryotic small subunit ribosomal RNA", at positions 104 to 323 of the family's 1831-position model. The record is from RNAcentral. Lineage: Eukaryota; Apicomplexa; Hepatozoidae.
AAACAUUUAUGGUUUACUUGAUCAUAAUUGUUACAUGGACAGCCGUGGUAUUUCUACUGCUAAUACAUGAGCAAAAUCUCAACUUUAUUAGAGGAGACGCAUUUAUUAGAUAAAAAGCCAGUUCAUGCUUUUCCUCUAUGAAAAUUGAUGAUUUAUAAUAACUUAACAAAUCGCAAAGUGAAAACAGGCGGUAAAUCAUUCAAGUUUCUGACCUAUCAGCUUUC